CCUCCGAAACCUCAGCGGGGUCUCAGGCACGUCCGAAAGCUGCGCGUCGCCGCCUUUAUUUUAUCCAACUCAGCGGGCUUCGCCUGAGUCGGAUUCGCAAAGCGCCGCCCUCGCGGGAGCCGUCCCGCCACCGGCCAGGAGUUGUCCGCAUUAUCCCUUGGAGCAUCUCAGGCGUCUGCCGUGCGGCCCGUGCCCGCCAACAGGGCGCUGGCGGGCCUUCGCGGCGGGCGGGCAGCUUUCCGCCCGUCACCCCUGUUAAUUCGAGGCGUUUGCAGGCAGCAUCGAUAUGCCUUUUUCCUUUCUUUUGGGUUUUUUUCCCCCCCCUCCCCGCUCUCGCUGCUGCUGGCUGGUGUGGCCUGGCUCGUUUUCUGGUUUCUUAUUCUCUUCGCGUUGCAGCCGGGAAGGGCAGGGGGAAGGAAAACGCGUGCGUGCACGAGAGAGAGAGAGGGACGGAGGGAGGCUGGGAAGGAUGCUUUAGCCGAAACACCUGCAGGACUUGAUAGAAAAGAGCUCCCCCCUCCCCUUUUUUUUUAAUAGUCCAAUUUCACCAGAAAAUGGGACAAUUUGCUGAUGCGUUAAUUUUGUCGGGAGCUACUGUAUUUGUUUCCACUUUAGUUCACGCGCUGCCUUGUUGGGGGCUGCGGGUUCGUCGGUAGGAGAUCCUCCCGCUGGAUAAAAGCGGAAGACGGAGCCGCUAGUGAGGCAGAGUUGUUAUUUUUGCUUUACAGCCAGAGACGCGACCCCGUCACCCCAGACGCUGGGACGCGACGGAGGCAGGAUUUGGGGGUCUGCUCCAAACCGGCAGCGCUGAAAACCAUGUUCAGCCGCUGCCGAAGCUCGAUGGCGUUUACCUGGCACGAGCCAAUCUUGGCUUUACUGACGAGGCAACGGCCGGAUGUCGGAGGACGAGGUGGUCAUGGGAACGCGAUGCCCCGAGCGGGAGGAUGUCCCAGCGGCUCCAAAGCUGUAAGAAAAGUGGAAUAUUGGAGUUGCAGCUUCUGCAAACUGCCUUUUCUUUAUAUAGAGAGCCAGAAAGAGAAGGGAAAGCUCACCCAAACAACCCCUGAAAUCCCGUCUCCCAGUUCGGGCUGCUGUUUUCCGUCUUUCCGAGACAGCGGAGGAAAGGGGAGAUGGUUUCUCGCAGUCCUCUCGGGCCAGUGCGGGCCCAGCUGCGGCACCGCGGCUAAAUGCAGCCAUCCAGCUUGGAGGAAGAGGCAGAUAAGUUGGAGAGCGUUCAGGAGAGCGAGGGGGAAGAGAUUUGUUAAAAAGUGAUUAGUGAGGACCAAUUGUGAGAACUGAGAUAGUUUAGAAAAGACCAAAGGGGACCGUGGCGGCGACUGGUAACUCCGCAAGAGGGUGUUGUAAAGAUAACGUUAUCCAGCUGCCCAUGGGAGAGAGGACAAGAGGCAGCUCCCUUCGUCUGCAGCCAGGGUGAGAUAUUAGGAAAACCCUCUAUUAACCGUGCGGUUCAACACCUGAAUCGGCUGCUGCGGGAAGGCAUGAAAUUCCCCCAUAGGAGAUCUUUAAAGCCACCUUAGAGAAAGAC
This 1546-nucleotide long non-coding RNA is filed under the name Struthio camelus australis. Its description in RNAcentral is "lncRNA (ENSSCUG00000003845.1)". Lineage: Eukaryota; Metazoa; Chordata; Aves; Struthioniformes; Struthionidae. The record is from RNAcentral.